RNAcentral lists this ribosomal RNA (253 nucleotides) under uncultured bacterium. Its description in RNAcentral is "partial 16S ribosomal RNA". It matches the Rfam family "Bacterial small subunit ribosomal RNA", at positions 524 to 776 of the family's 1533-position model. The record is from RNAcentral.
GACAGAGGGUGCAAACGUUGUUCGGAAUUACUGGGCGUAAAGCGCGUGUAGGCGGCCCUGCAAGUCGGAUGUGAAAUCCCACGGCUCAACCGUGGAAGUGCAUUCGAAACUGCAGGGCUAGAGUCCUGGAGAGGAAGGUGGAAUGCUUGGUGUAGAGGUGAAGUUCGUAGAUAUCAAGCGGAACACCGGUGGCGAAGGCGGCCUUCUGGACAGUGACUGACGCUGAGGCGCGAAAGCGUGGGGAGCAAACAGG